This 445-nucleotide long non-coding RNA is filed under the name Setaria viridis. Its description in RNAcentral is "long non-coding RNA (SVIR_LNC008349)". Lineage: Eukaryota; Viridiplantae; Streptophyta; Magnoliopsida; Poales; Poaceae. The record is from RNAcentral.
CUCGGGCUUCUUGUCCUUCACCUCCUCCACCUUGAGGAUGUCGGCGUGGCCGAGCUUCUUGCGCAGGCACUUGACCAGGCAGACGGUGUCGACGCCGUCGCCGACCACCUCCAGCUGGUCCUUGCCGUUGCCGGUGACCCCCAUCGAGCUCACCCCUGCGUACACACACACGUAUUGGAACCGUUAGCACCGGCCAAAAGGAAUGCACGAGAGCUAGGAGAAGCAACUGAGCAUGCGUGGCCGGGGGGCGCGUCCGUACCGUCUGCUCUGGCGACGAGCUCCAUGGCCUUGGACCGGCUCUUCUCGGACGACAUGCUCACCUUGAUCACGAUCUUUUGCUGCAACAAAGAGCCACGGGACAGAGCAAUUAUCAGCGUCGAUCGUCACGAAGCAGAGGAACGCGAAAGAGCUACAGCGAGACGUUUCAAGUGGCUGGUUGCCUGCC